Molecule: ribosomal RNA, 466 nt
Filed under: uncultured bacterium
Lineage: Bacteria
Description: partial 16S ribosomal RNA
Rfam family: Bacterial small subunit ribosomal RNA
Source: RNAcentral
GAUGAACGCUGGCGGCGUGCUCAACACAUGCAAGUCGAACGAUGAAGCCCAGCUUGCUGGGUGGAUUAGUGGCGAACGGGUGAGUAACACGUGAGUAACCCGCCCUUAACUCUGGGAUAAGCCUGGGAAACUGGGUCUAAUACCGGAUAGGAGCGUCCACCGCAUGGUGGGUGUUGGAAAGAUUUAUCGGUUUUGGAUGGACUCGCGGCCUAUCAGCUUGUUGGUGAGGUAAUGGCUCACCAAGGCGACGACGGGUAGCCGGCCUGAGAGGGUGACCGGCCACACUGGGACUGAGACACGGCCCAGACUCCUACGGGAGGCAGCAGUGGGGAAUAUUGCACAAUGGGCGCAAGCCUGAUGCAGCGACGCCGCGUGAGGGAUGACGGCCUUCGGGUUGUAAACCUCUUUCAGUAGGGAAGAAGCGAAAGUGACGGUACCUGCAGAAGAAGCACCGGCUAACUACGUG